RNAcentral lists this transfer RNA (72 nucleotides) under Aedes aegypti (yellow fever mosquito). It matches the Rfam family "tRNA". From Rfam's summary of the family: Transfer RNA (tRNA) molecules are approximately 80 nucleotides in length. Their secondary structure includes four short double-helical elements and three loops (D, anti-codon, and T loops). Lineage: Eukaryota; Metazoa; Arthropoda; Insecta; Diptera; Culicidae. The record is from Rfam by way of RNAcentral.
CGCUCAGCAGUUUAGUUGGUAAAGCGCUCGUCUAACAUGCAAGAGAAGUGGGAUCGAAUUCCACCUUAGCAC